CGAUGAUCCCAGCUUGCUGGGGGAUUAGUGGCGAACGGGUGAGUAACACGUGAGUAACCUGCCCUUGACUCUGGGAUAAGCCUGGGAAACUGGGUCUAAUACCGGAUACGACCAUCUGGCGCAUGUCAUGGUGGUGGAAAGCUUUUGUGGUUUUGGAUGGACUCGCGGCCUAUCAGCUUGUUGGUGGGGUAAUGGCCUACCAAGGCGACGACGGGUAGCCGGCCUGAGAGGGUGACCGGCCACACUGGGACUGAGACACGGCCCAGACUCCUACGGGAGGCAGCAGUGGGGAAUAUUGCACAAUGGGCGCAAGCCUGAUGCAGCGACGCCGCGUGAGGGAUGACGGCCUUCGGGUUGUAAACCUCUUUCAGUAGGGAAGAAGCGAAAGUGACGGUACCUGCAGAAGAAGCGCCGGCUAACUACGUGCCAGCAGCCGCGGUAAUACGUAGGGCGCAAGCGUUAUCCGGAAUUAUUGGGCGUAAAGAGCUCGUAGGCGGUUUGUCGCGUCUGCUGUGAAAGACCGGGGCUCAACUCCGGUUCUGCAGUGGGUACGGGCAGACUAGAGUGCAGUAGGGGAGACUGGAAUUCCUGGUGUAGCGGUGAAAUGCGCAGAUAUCAGGAGGAACACCGAUGGCGAAGGCAGGUCUCUGGGCUGUAACUGACGCUGAGGAGCGAAAGCAUGGGGAGCGAACAGGAUUAGAUACCCUGGUAGUCCAUGCCGUAAACGUUGGGCACUAGGUGUGGGGGACA
This 750-nucleotide ribosomal RNA is filed under the name Paenarthrobacter sp. RNAcentral's name for it is "bacterial SSU rRNA". It matches the Rfam family "Bacterial small subunit ribosomal RNA", at positions 67 to 831 of the family's 1533-position model. The record is from RNAcentral. Lineage: Bacteria; Bacillati; Actinomycetota; Actinomycetes; Micrococcales; Micrococcaceae.